Molecule: ribosomal RNA, 401 nt
Filed under: uncultured Geobacter sp.
Lineage: Bacteria; Pseudomonadati; Thermodesulfobacteriota; Desulfuromonadia; Geobacterales; Geobacteraceae
Description: bacterial SSU rRNA
Rfam family: Bacterial small subunit ribosomal RNA
Source: RNAcentral
UUGACAUCCGCGGAACCUCUAUGAAAGUAGGGGUGCCCUUCGGGAGCCGCGAGACAGGUGCUGCAUGGCUGUCGUCAGCCCGUGUCGUGAGAUGUUGGGUUAAGUCCCGCAACGAGCGCAACCCUUAUCUUCAGUUGCCAUCAUUAAGUUGGGCACUCUGAAGAAACUGCCGGUGUCAAACCGGAGGAAGGUGGGGAUGACGUCAAGUCCUCAUGGCCCUUAUGUCCAGGGCUACACACGUGCUACAAUGGCCGGUACAAAGAGUAGCGAUGCCGCGAGGUGGAGCCAAUCUCAAAAAGACCGGUCUCAGUUCGGAUUGCAGGCUGCAACUCGCCUGCAUGAAGUCGGAGUUGCUAGUAAUCGCGGAUCAGAAUGCCGCGGUGAAUGCGUUCCCGGGUCUU